This 483-nucleotide ribosomal RNA is filed under the name uncultured bacterium. RNAcentral describes it as "partial 16S ribosomal RNA". It matches the Rfam family "Bacterial small subunit ribosomal RNA", at positions 30 to 507 of the family's 1533-position model. The record is from RNAcentral.
UUGAACGCUGGCGGCAGGCCUAACACAUGCAAGUCGAGCUGAUGAAGGGAGCUUGCUCCUGGAUUCAGCGGCGGACGGGUGAGUAAUGCCUAGGAAUCUGCCUGGUAGUGGGGGAUAACGUCCGGAAACGGGCGCUAAUACCGCAUACGUCCUGAGGGAGAAAGUGGGGGAUCUUCGGACCUCACGCUAUCAGAUGAGCCUAGGUCGGAUUAGCUAGUUGGUGGGGUAAAGGCCUACCAAGGCGACGAUCCGUAACUGGUCUGAGAGGAUGAUCAGUCACACUGGAACUGAGACACGGUCCAGACUCCUACGGGAGGCAGCAGUGGGGAAUAUUGGACAAUGGGCGAAAGCCUGAUCCAGCCAUGCCGCGUGUGUGAAGAAGGUCUUCGGAUUGUAAAGCACUUUAAGUUGGGAGGAAGGGCAGUAAGUUAAUACCUUGCUGUUUUGACGUUACCAACAGAAUAAGCACCGGCUAACUUCGUG